AAGCAGGUCAUAGUGAUCCGGUGGUUCUGAAUGGAAGGGCCAUCGCUCAACGGAUAAAAGGUACUCCGGGGAUAACAGGCUGAUACCGCCCAAGAGUUCAUAUCGACGGCGGUGUUUGGCACCUCGAUGUCGGCUCAUCACAUCCUGGGGCUGAAGUAGGUCCCAAGGGUAUGGCUGUUCGCCAUUUAAAGUGGUACGCGAGCUGGGUUUAGAACGUCGUGAGACAGUUCGGUCCCUAUCUGCCGUGGGCGCUGGAGAACUGAGGGGGGCUGCUCCUAGUACGAGAGGACCGGAGUGGACGCAUCACUGGUGUUCGGGUUGUCAUGCCAAUGGCACUGCCCGGUAGCUAAAUGCGGAAGAGAUAAGUGCUGAAAGCAUCUAAGCACGAAACUUGCCCCGAGAUGAGUUCUCCCUGACUCCUUGAGAGUCCUGAAGGAACGUUGAAGACGACGACGUUGAUAGGCCGGGUGUGUAAGCGCAGCGAUGCGUUGAGCUAACCGGUACUAAUGAACCGUGAGGCUUAACCUUACAACGCCGAAGGUGUUU
RNAcentral lists this ribosomal RNA (546 nucleotides) under Escherichia coli. RNAcentral's name for it is "partial 23S ribosomal RNA". It matches the Rfam family "Bacterial large subunit ribosomal RNA", at positions 2403 to 2925 of the family's 2925-position model. The record is from RNAcentral. Lineage: Bacteria; Pseudomonadati; Pseudomonadota; Gammaproteobacteria; Enterobacterales; Enterobacteriaceae.